CCAAACUCUUAUCUUUGGCGGGGUGGAUCACAUUAGCAAGGUCAGUACUUAUUGCGAUACCAAAUUAUUUUAUGUAGAUUGUUUUAGUUCUACUUUCCUUAUAUGAGGAGAUUGAAAGAAAUGUGAGGAAUUUUGUAUAGAGUUCAACGAAUCGUGCACGAAAAUUUUCUCUAGUGUGUUGGGACAAGUGCUGUCAACCAAGGCAAAAUGGGGGCCUAGGCUUUCGUAACUUAAGGGAGCAAAAUAAGUAUUUUAUCACGAAGCUGGGGUUUUAGUUUCUUGCUAAUCAAAAUGCUUUCUGGGUUAAAUUUUUACGCUCAAAGUACAAGUUGAAGGAGAGGUGUUCGCGAAGCAUUAAUCGUUCAAGUUCUUAUGUUUGGAGAUCUUUAUCAAACAUUUGGGACGAGCUUUGCCGUACUUUUUUGGCUUAUGAAAGGUUAAUGAAAUAUAAUCGAGCUCCUAAGUGUAAUGUUUGGGAUGUCAUUCGGAAGUAUCCAGGCCCUUAGAAACUUAGAAAAUUUCUUUGGCUUGAGUUCAAAGAACGAUUGCUCACUAUUGUUGAGCAUUACUAACGAAGACUGAUCUCUAUAUGAUGUGUGGUAUGGCGUCAAUGACUAGUUUACAUGCCAAAAGCAUCAACAAUUUGGAAAAUAAUUGUGCCUAAAGCAUCUCAAUCGAAUUUUUUCUCGAUAACCCUACCAUUGUGGCUUACCUCUAACCUAUCUAUUUCAAAGGGCUGGACACCCUUUUUGGGGUUAUCUAUUGGUUGCUAUGGAAGCAAAGGAAUCUAAUCUUGUUCCAAGACCAUAAUCUUAGUUCUAAGAAGAUCUUUAGAUAGGCUAUCAACUGGACAAAGUGAUCUACUGUAAUUUGAUUUGUCAAAUUAGGCUCAUCGUGUCACUUAAUAAGCUUAUUUUUAAGCGAUUUAAAUGUCUUUUUAGUAGUUUAGCUUAAUUUUAGUUAUUACAAUUAAAUAAGUGUGAAUGUCUCUUUUUACUCAUUUUGAGACCCAAAUUGGCCAAUUGUUCCAUUGGGGAGCUAACGAAUGAUUGGGUGUUGUAGGAAAGUGUUGGUGGCCAAAUUCAAGCGAGAACAUCACUAAAAGAAAGGGUAUUGCGAUAUCUAAGCCUGGGAAUCGCGGUACCCUCAACAGUGCUGAAAUAAAGAGAACGAAGACCACCUACAGUGGUAUCGUGAUAUCUACCUUGGGUAUCGCAAUAGCCAACACCCCAAGGAUCCCCCAUUUUGAAACUGUCGAUGAUAUCACGCCAUCCAUACUUAGGUAUCGCGAUAUCGAUAUUGUGAGGAGACAAAAAAAUGAAAUCGGGGCUAGUCUUUGUCCAACCAAAGCACUAAUCAAUGAAGAUCCAUUCAAUGGUAUUUUGGUCAACAAAUUUGGGUAAGAAUUUGCUGCUAAAUCAACUAAUUUUGGCUAAGGAGAGAGGAG
RNAcentral lists this long non-coding RNA (1447 nucleotides) under Gossypium raimondii (Peruvian cotton). Its description in RNAcentral is "long non-coding RNA (GRAI_LNC005262)". Lineage: Eukaryota; Viridiplantae; Streptophyta; Magnoliopsida; Malvales; Malvaceae. The record is from RNAcentral.